RNAcentral lists this long non-coding RNA (456 nucleotides) under Ananas comosus (pineapple). Its description in RNAcentral is "long non-coding RNA (ACOM_LNC024565)". The record is from RNAcentral. Lineage: Eukaryota; Viridiplantae; Streptophyta; Magnoliopsida; Poales; Bromeliaceae.
AAGUAUAUGUAUUAGGGGUAGUCGAUAUUUAAUCUUCUACUCUAGGUAUAUGUGCCAGAGUAGAAAAAGAUUCAUGAUGAAUUUGGAUUUAGUUUAACGACUUUACGGUCGUUUGAAUUUGGAUUUAGUUUAAUGAUGUUUCGGUCGUUUGAAUUUGAAAUUAGUUUAACGACUUUACGGUCGUAUGAAUUUGGAUUUAGUUUAACGACUUUAUGGUCGUUUGAUCUUAGGUUUAGUUUAACGACUUUACAGUCGUUUAGAUUUGAGAGGCUUUGGAUUUCAGGGUUUUAUUUGUGGACUUUAGGUUUUGGGCUUUAUUUAUGGGCUUUAGGUUUUGGGAUUUUAUUUGUGGACUUUAGGUUUUGGGAUUUUAUUUGUGGACUUUAGGUUUUGAGAUUUAUUUGUGGACUUUGAUUUUGGGUUGGCUUGAACCUCUCGUAUUUGAUUUGGGAUGAA